This 324-nucleotide ribosomal RNA is filed under the name uncultured eukaryote. RNAcentral's name for it is "partial 18S ribosomal RNA". It matches the Rfam family "Eukaryotic small subunit ribosomal RNA", at positions 1470 to 1797 of the family's 1831-position model. The record is from RNAcentral.
CCCUUAGAUGUUCUGGGCCGCACGCGUGCUACACUGAACGGUUCAAUGGGUAAGGUAGUGCGAAAGCAUGACCUAAUCUCGAAAUCCGUUCGUGCUUGGGAUAGAAGCUUGCAAUUAUCCUUCUUGAACGAGGAAUACCUUGUAAGCGUGAGUCAUCAUCUCACGCUGAAUACGUCCCUGCCCUUUGUACACACCGCCCGUCGCUCCUACCGAUUGAGUGUUCCGGUGAGGCUUUGGGAGAAUGGCCUCAACAUGAGUUUAUCGUGUUUUGCCGUUUGAACUUAGUCAAACCUUAUCACUUAGAGGAAGGAGAAGUCGUAACAA